Molecule: ribosomal RNA, 390 nt
Filed under: uncultured microorganism
Description: bacterial SSU rRNA
Rfam family: Archaeal small subunit ribosomal RNA
Source: RNAcentral
GUGCAGCAGUCGCGAAAACUUCACACUGUGCGAAAGCACGAUGAGGGAAUCCCAAGUGCUUGCACGUAAGUGUAAGCUGUUUCUCUGUCUAAAACGCAGAGAGAGUAAGGGCUGGGUAAGACGGGUGCCAGCCGCCGCGGUAAUACCUGCAGCUCAAGUGGUGACCGUUAUUAUUGGGCCUAAAACGUCCGUAGCCGGUUUAAUAAAUGCCUGGGUAAAUUGUGUAGCUUAACUAUACGAAUUCCGGGUAGACUGUUAAACUUGAGACCGGGAGAAGUUAGAGGUACUCCUGGGGUAGAGGUGAAAAUUCUGUAAUCCUAGGGGGACCACCAGUGGCGAAGGCGUCUAACUAGAACGGGUCUGACGGUGAGGGACGAAGCCCUGGGGCGC